GAUGAACGCUGGCGGCGCGCUUAACACAUGCAAGUCGAACGGAAAGGCCUGCUUUCCCUUGUGGAUUGCGGGUACUCGAGUGGCGAACGGGUGAGUAACACGUGAGUGAUCUGCCCCCAACUUGGUUAUAAGCCUGGGAAACUGGGUCUAAUUCCCGAUAGGACUGCAGGGUGGUGCCUGUGGUGGAAAACGAUUUUCUAGUGGUUGGGGAUGAGCUCGCGGCCUAUCAGCUUGUUGGUGGGGUAAUGGCCUACCAAGGCGGCGACGGGUAGCCGGCCUGAGAGGGUGGACGGCCACAUUGGGACUGAGAUACGGCCCAGACUCCUACGGGAGGCAGCAGUGGGGAAUAUUGCACAAUGGGCGGAAGCCUGAUGCAGCGACGCCGCGUGGGGGAUGACGGCCUUCGGGUUGUAAACUCCUUUCGACCGCGAGGAAGCCACCUGGUUGGGAGGGUGGUGACGGUAGUGGUAGAAGAAGCACCGGCUAACUACGUG
Molecule: ribosomal RNA, 494 nt
Filed under: uncultured bacterium
Lineage: Bacteria
Description: partial 16S ribosomal RNA
Rfam family: Bacterial small subunit ribosomal RNA
Source: RNAcentral